RNAcentral lists this transfer RNA (86 nucleotides) under Oceanospirillaceae bacterium. RNAcentral describes it as "tRNA-Leu". It matches the Rfam family "tRNA". Rfam says of the family: Transfer RNA (tRNA) molecules are approximately 80 nucleotides in length. Their secondary structure includes four short double-helical elements and three loops (D, anti-codon, and T loops). Lineage: Bacteria; Pseudomonadati; Pseudomonadota; Gammaproteobacteria; Oceanospirillales; Oceanospirillaceae. The record is from RNAcentral.
GCCGAAGUGGUGAAAUUGGUAGACACGCGGUGUUCAGGUCGCCGUGUCCUAUGGACGUGAGAGUUCGAGUCUCUCCUUCGGCACCA